This is a long non-coding RNA of Lolium rigidum, 374 nucleotides long. RefSeq lists it as uncharacterized. The transcript is spliced from 2 exons. Lineage: Eukaryota; Viridiplantae; Streptophyta; Magnoliopsida; Poales; Poaceae. The record is from RefSeq and is a predicted model, not a curated record.
GUCAGGCAGUUGCCGGGCAGAAUUGUGCGCGAACGAUGGGCGACUCCGCGACGGAGUGGUGGUCAGAUCCACACGUGAGGCGCAGGGACUGUCACUCCGUAUACCAGCGCGUGCAGCUGAUAGCAAGUUUGGUGAGCGCUGCUGGACGUCGAGGUGUUAUGGGUGAGGCCGACUGAGACCAGAUCCAGUGCAUCCUUAGUGGUUCAGACCAAGACCUGUGUCAAUGUUUGAGAAAUAUAUGUAACCAUGAAAGGCAUUUAUUGCUCAGAAUUACUUAUUUAGAACUGAAAUAUUGUUAUAUUAUACAUGCCUCCAAAUCUUGAGAUAGAGAUAACAAAUGAAUAUAGCAUUAUGUGAUGCUCUUGGCAACUGCA